Molecule: ribosomal RNA, 459 nt
Filed under: uncultured bacterium
Lineage: Bacteria
Description: partial 16S ribosomal RNA
Rfam family: Bacterial small subunit ribosomal RNA
Source: RNAcentral
GAUGAAUGCUGGCGGCGUGCCUAACACAUGCAAGUCGAGCGGUAAGGCCCUUCGGGGUACACGAGCGGCGGACGGCUGAGUAACGCGUGGGAACAUACCCCAGAGUGAGGGAUAACGCACCGAAAGGUGUGCUAAUACCGCAUAAUCUCUUUGGAGCAAAGCAGUAAUGCGCUUUGGGAAGGGCCUGCGUACGAUUAGAUAGUUGGUGAGGUAAUGGCUUACCAAGUCGACGAUCGUUAGCUGGUCUGAGAGGAUGACCAGCCAGACUGGAACUGAGACACGGUCCAGACUCCUACGGGAGGCAGCAGUGAGGAAUCUUCCACAAUGGGGGCAACCCUGAUGGAGCAACGCCGCGUGCAGGAUGAAGGCCUUCGGGUCGUAAACUGCUUUUAUAAGUGAAGAAUAUGACGGUAACUUAUGAAUAAGCACCGGCUAACUACGUGCCAGCAGCCGCCGUAA